UUUUUUGAUACCUGGGCAGCUGGU
Molecule: non-coding RNA, 24 nt
Filed under: Cricetulus griseus (Chinese hamster)
Lineage: Eukaryota; Metazoa; Chordata; Mammalia; Rodentia; Cricetidae
Source: RNAcentral